GACGGAGGGCGCGAGCGUUGUUCGGAAUCACUGGGCGUAAAGCGCGCGCAGGCGGGUGCGGAAGUCGGGGGUGAAAGGCCGGGGCUCAACCCUGGUAGGUUCUCUCGAUACUCCGUGCCUAGGGACCGGUAGAGGCCAGUGGAAUUCCCGGAGUAGCGGUGGAAUGCGUAGAGAUCGGGAAGAACACCAGAGGCGAAGGCGACUGGCUGGACAGUACCUGACGCUGAGGCGCGAAAGCUAGGGGAGCAAACAGG
RNAcentral lists this ribosomal RNA (254 nucleotides) under uncultured bacterium. Its description in RNAcentral is "partial 16S ribosomal RNA". It matches the Rfam family "Bacterial small subunit ribosomal RNA", at positions 524 to 776 of the family's 1533-position model. The record is from RNAcentral.